This 489-nucleotide long non-coding RNA is filed under the name Gallus gallus (chicken). Lineage: Eukaryota; Metazoa; Chordata; Aves; Galliformes; Phasianidae. The record is from RNAcentral.
CACAGAGGCAAUGAUCGGGAUGUGAAUUUUCGCAUACCCAGUGUCCCACAGUGAAUAAAAUCUGCCGCUCCAAGGAGCGAUAUAGCCUGUGUACGUCAAAUAGAUGACACUCAGGAAUACAAUACCAGCAGCCAGUGAGACACCCAAGAAGAACAAGGUCUGAAACUCUUGCUUUGUUAGCCUAUCUCUCAGAUACUGCAAAAAUGCAUAUGCCUGCAGCAAUGCAAAAACACCUGCAGCUGCCAUGUGUUCACUUGUUCUAAUUGGUUGAAAUCCCACAAAAGGUAUCUGCAUUGAUAAUAUUAACCCGACGAUGUAGAAAGUGCUAUAUGCAAUGUAGACCCUCCUGCUGUACCUUUGCAUCAGCAGCAGAACAAACACAUGCAGUGGAAUAAGGUUGAUGAUGAAAACGUAACCACCCCAUGCAGAGACCAUGUAGAAGUAAGAUAGACAGCAGCAGAUUGUCCAAAAGACUGACCCAGUUUUCAC